Panicum hallii is the source of this 1037-nucleotide long non-coding RNA. RefSeq lists it as uncharacterized. The transcript has 3 exons. The record is from RefSeq and is a predicted model, not a curated record. NCBI's taxonomy places the organism in Eukaryota, Viridiplantae, Streptophyta, Magnoliopsida, Poales, Poaceae.
GUCAGGUUCCAAUUAUGUGACAGCAAAUCUUUUUUUCCCCAAAAUAUGUGGUAUCUAUUUAGCUAUUGAGAAAUGGAAAACUAGUGGUAUCCCAAAGGUAGAAGAGAUGUCAGCCUUGAUGAAAGAUAAAUUUACAAAGUAUUGGACAGAUGUGCAUGGCCUUAUGGAGAUAGCCACUGUUUUAGAUCCUAGGUAUAAAUUGAUAUUCAUGAAAGCAUUUUAUAGAACUAUUUAUGGGGAAGAAGCUACAGAUAUUGAAGUGUCUAGAGUUAAAAGUUUAUUGUAUGAAUUGGUAUUGGAAUACCAAGAUUUUAUGGAGGGUAUGGCAACAACUGAUGCUCUAGGUGCAGCUAAUAGAAACGUUGCCCUAAAUGAAGGAGAUGAUCUUAUGUUUGGUAUAUUUGAUAAGUUCUUGUCAGAAAAACCCGAAGAAUCCUCAACUUAUUUGCGCACUGAGUUGGAUUUGUAUUUGGAGGAGCCAACAUUGCCUAGAACUCAAGAACUUGACAUCAUUAGCUGGUGGCAGUAUGCAGGAAUUAAGUAUCCAACUCUUAGAAGAAUUGCUCGAGAUAUAAUGGCAAUUCCUGUUACGACAGUGGCAUCAGAAUCUGUGUUUAGUACUGGUGGAAGGGUAAUUAGCCCGCAUCGAAGUAGACUUGCUCCUAAAACAGUUGAAGGGUUGAUGUGCAUGCAAGCUUGGUCUCGUGCUGAUAUGUUAGGUGAUCAAUCUGGUUUCAUGAAUGCACUAAUGACUUGUUUGGAGGAUGAAGAGGAGGAAAUGGAUGAUCCUGAUUCUACCAUCAUUGAUUGAAAUAUAGGAAGAUUGCAACACAAUCCAUGCUGCUUUUUCAUGUCAAGUGAUUAGGCCUACUUGCUGCUUGCUGCUGCCUACUGGAUUGUUGGUAGGCCUAACUGCUGGUGGUUCUUUAUAUGUGCUAGCUGCUGCCUGCUGCUAUGCUGCUGGUUGUAUGAACUGUAAUUUGUGGUUGGAAUUGUACUCAAUAAUGCGUGUAUGAUUGUAAUUUCUUGUUGUAUCA